This 229-nucleotide ribosomal RNA is filed under the name uncultured bacterium. RNAcentral describes it as "partial 16S ribosomal RNA". It matches the Rfam family "Bacterial small subunit ribosomal RNA", at positions 568 to 796 of the family's 1533-position model. The record is from RNAcentral.
CUCGUAGGCGGUUUGUUAAGUCGGAUGUGAAAGCCCCGGGCUCAACCUGUGAACUGCAUUCGAUACUGGCAAACUAGAGUAUAGAAGAGGCAAGUGGAAUUCCAGGUGUAGCGGUGAAAUGCGUAGAUAUCUGGAGGAACAUCAGUGGCGAAGGCGACUUGCUGGUCUAAUACUGACGCUGAGGAGCGAAAGCGUGGGGAGCAAACAGGAUUAGAUACCCUGGUAGUCC